AACGAACGCUGGCGGCAUGCCUAACACAUGCAAGUCGAACGAGACCUUCGGGUCUAGUGGCGCACGGGUGCGUAACGCGUGGGAACCUGCCCUUAGGUUCGGAAUAACUCCCCGAAAGGGGUGCUAAUACCGGAUAAUGUCUUCGGACCAAAGAUUUAUCGCCUUUGGAUGGGCCCGCGUUGGAUUAGCUAGUUGGUAGGGUAAAAGCCUACCAAGGCGACGAUCCAUAGCUGGUCUGAGAGGAUGAUCAGCCACACUGGGACUGAGACACGGCCCAGACUCCUACGGGAGGCAGCAGUGGGGAAUAUUGGACAAUGGGCGAAAGCCUGAUCCAGCAAUGCCGCGUGAGUGAAGAAGGCCUUAGUGUUGUAAAGCUCUUUUACCCGGGAUGAUAAUGACAGUACCGGGAGAAUAAGCUCCGGCUAACUCCGUG
This 433-nucleotide ribosomal RNA is filed under the name uncultured bacterium. RNAcentral's name for it is "partial 16S ribosomal RNA". It matches the Rfam family "Bacterial small subunit ribosomal RNA", at positions 29 to 507 of the family's 1533-position model. The record is from RNAcentral.